GUGGGGAAUCUUGCGCAAUGGGCGAAAGCCUGACGCAGCCAUGCCGCGUGAAUGAUGAAGGUCUUAGGAUUGUAAAAUUCUUUCACCGGGGACGAUAAUGACGGUACCCGGAGAAGAAGCUCCGGCUAACUUCGUGCCAGCAGCCGCGGUAAUACGAAGGGGGCUAGCGUUGCUCGGAAUUACUGGGCGUAAAGGGCGCGUAGGCGGACAGCUUAGUCAGAGGUGAAAGCCCAGGGCUCAACCUUGGAAUUGCCUUUGAUACUGGCUGUCUUGAGUUUGGGAGAGGUGAGUGGAACUCCGAGUGUAGAGGUGAAAUUCGUAGAUAUUCGCAAGAACACCAGUGGCGAAGGCGGCUUACUGGUCCGGUACUGACGCUGAGGUGCGAAAGCGUGGGGAGCAAACAGGAUUAGAAACCCGAGUAGUCC
Molecule: ribosomal RNA, 425 nt
Filed under: uncultured bacterium
Lineage: Bacteria
Description: partial 16S ribosomal RNA
Rfam family: Bacterial small subunit ribosomal RNA
Source: RNAcentral